Long non-coding RNA from Ochotona curzoniae (black-lipped pika), 520 nucleotides. RefSeq lists it as uncharacterized. Lineage: Eukaryota; Metazoa; Chordata; Mammalia; Lagomorpha; Ochotonidae. The transcript is spliced from 3 exons. The record is from RefSeq and is a predicted model, not a curated record.
CUGUCUCAAUCUUGCUCUACCUUUAAUGCCAACACUUCCCGUGGAAGACUUCAUUUUCUGAUUUGUUCUUGAGGAAAGGACAACAAAUACUUCUCAGAUUUAUCUUUUUCCCAGUCGUUAUUCACAGGAUACAUUUCUUUCAGCUCACAUGAGACAGAGUUCACAUUCUAGCAUUCCUACUUGGCAUAGGUCUUCCUUCUGGAGAACUCCUCCUAGGUGCAGACUUGGGAAGCACAACCCUAUGUGAGCCAGGAUUCUGUCAUAUAUGGACAACAGUCUGCUGCUCUGCUUCCUAAAACUGAAGAAGGAAUGUGAGAUUUGGUGCCAAAGCAUUCAAUUGCUUCAUUGCUACUUGUUGUUACUUAUGUGUGAAAAUGAUGUAAAUUUACCCUGCUGUCCAGAAUUUUAAACACAAACAAAUAAAAGCUUAGUGUUUUCAUUGGGCUUCCCCCCUUGGGAGCAAAACAUGCUUUUUCUAUGUGGGAUGAAUUUUGCACUUCAUUAAAUGCCCCGAUCCUUU